UCCCACCGUUAAGUCAAGGAUCUCUCCCUCCUCUAUGGAUUGAUCCUGUUACAACAGUGGGAGAUUGAGUAUGUCUCGCCUUGCCUGUGGCCGUUAUGGUCAUGGGUAGACUAGCUUCCGUUUUGGUUGCCGAUCACCAGAGUCAGGUGUCCCGUUUGAGUUGAGGGCCAUUUCUGCAUUGCAGCAUCGUGGUGGUUCUCUUAGUAACGUCUCACACAUCU
Molecule: small nucleolar RNA, 221 nt
Filed under: Clohesyomyces aquaticus
Lineage: Eukaryota; Fungi; Ascomycota; Dothideomycetes; Pleosporales; Lindgomycetaceae
Description: Small nucleolar RNA snR191
Rfam family: Small nucleolar RNA snR191
Source: Rfam by way of RNAcentral